Molecule: ribosomal RNA, 467 nt
Filed under: uncultured bacterium
Lineage: Bacteria
Description: partial 16S ribosomal RNA
Rfam family: Bacterial small subunit ribosomal RNA
Source: RNAcentral
GACGAACGCUGGCGGCGUGCUUAACACAUGCAGGUCGAACGGUGAAGCUCCAGCUUGCUGGAGUGGAUCAGUGGCGAACGGGUGAGUAACACGUGAGCAACCUGCCCCUGACUCUGGAAUAAGCGCUGGAAACGGCGUCUAAUACUGGAUACGAGAAGGGUCCGCAUGGGCACUUUCUGGAAAGUUUUUCGGUUGGGGAUGGGCUCGCGGCCUAUCAGCUUGUUGGUGAGGUAAUGGCUCACCAAGGCGACGACGGGUAGCCGGCCUGAGAGGGCGACCGGCCACACUGGGACUGAGACACGGCCCAGACUCCUACGGGAGGCAGCAGUGGGGAAUAUUGCACAAUGGGCGAAAGCCGGAUGCAGCGACGCCGCGUGAGGGAUGACGGCCUUCGGGUUGUAAACCUCUUUCAGAAGGGAAGAAGCGAAAGUGACGGUACCUGCAGAAGAAGCACCGGCUAACUACGU